GACGAACGCUGGCGGCGUGCUUAACACAUGCAAGUCGAACGGAAAGGCCCCCACCUUGGUGGGGGUGCUCGAGUGGCGAACGGGUGAGUAACACGUGGGUGAUCUGCCCUGUACUUCGGGAUAAGCUUGGGAAACUGGGUCUAAUACCGGAUAGGACCAUGGUUUAGUGUCUCAUGGUGGAAAAAUUAUUGUUUUGGUGCAGGAUGAGCUCGCGGCCUAUCAGCUUGUUGGUGGGGUAAUGGCCUACCAAGGCGUCGACGGGUAGCCGGCCUGAGAGGGUGGACGGCCACAUUGGGACUGAGAUACGACCCAGACUCGUACGGGAGGCAGCAGUGGGGAAUAUUGCACAAUGGGCGCAAGCCUGAUGCAGCGACGCCGCGUGGGGGAUGACGGCCUUCGGGUUGUAAACUCCUUUCGUUAGGGACGAAGCCACACCUUUUUUGGGUGUGGUGACGGUACCUUUGUUAAGAAGCACCGGCUAACUACGUG
RNAcentral lists this ribosomal RNA (489 nucleotides) under uncultured bacterium. RNAcentral describes it as "partial 16S ribosomal RNA". It matches the Rfam family "Bacterial small subunit ribosomal RNA", at positions 28 to 507 of the family's 1533-position model. The record is from RNAcentral.